RNAcentral lists this long non-coding RNA (2524 nucleotides) under Physcomitrium patens. RNAcentral's name for it is "long non-coding RNA (PPAT_LNC006282)". The record is from RNAcentral. Lineage: Eukaryota; Viridiplantae; Streptophyta; Bryopsida; Funariales; Funariaceae.
UAGAAUGGCAGGUCCCGGGGUGCAUCUCCCCUGCCCAUUCGGAUUCCACCCGACUAAACCUGGUGGGUGAGCGAGCUUGCAAGCUAGCUUGCUAAGCUAGACAGUUACUACAGUAGAUCUGCUUCCCCACUACCAACCUCACUUCAUGCACCCUAUUCGUACAUAAUUUGUGGAUUGGACAUCGACUAGGAGGAUCCAAGUGCUCCGCGGGACCAUUUCGAUUGCAAUUAGACGCAUCCGUUGGACUCAGUAGCCCAUCUCCUCGACCUUGUCUGCGGAAGCACAAAUUUCGGAAAUACAAUUUGAAAUUACGGAUUUGAAGUCUUCUGCAGUUUGUUGUGCUGGAGGAGAAGUGAACGGACAUCAUUCAUUACGGUUUAGGGUUGGUAUUUGUGAGUAAAGCUGGUUUGAAGUUGCAGGUAGAGGAAGCGAGCAUGUGCUGGUUGCGUCGGUGACAAAGCGAGACAGAGGGUUCUUGGAUCAUAUUGGUGCCGAAAGUUUUAAGGGUGAAGCCUGGACUAAGUCCCCUUGGCAACAAAUAUUGCGAGAUUCCCUGUUUCGAUGAGUAGAGGCAGACGAUGUCGAGAAUCAGCAUAGGGUGGCAAGUUCUGGAGCCCAACGAGGUUCUAUCGCUCAUGUUCAAAGCCUACCUGCUGUCUCUUGUCCUUGUUAUUUCAGUUGUGGUGUGGACUGCCAGCGAUGCCUGGACCCUAUACGUCGAGUAUUACUACAUGACGAGUCUUUCCAUCAGGGUUUCUAAUUACUCCAAUUUCUGAUGCACCACACAAGUAGCGUAACACAAUUUCAUUGAUCUGUCUGUCUCUCUCCGGCAGCCUUUUACAGUGCAUUGGUCUCCCUUCAAAACGGCACGUUACGUGCAAUUCCAAGGUCUGAAGCCUGAUUACCUUCUCCUUGAUAUUUGGGGCCACAGACCGAUCUCCCUCUCUCUGUCUACAGUAUCGUUCCGCAAAAUUGAAUGACAUCACCGCAAGUCGGAAAUCCUGAUCUAGCUCCACAGCUGAUCAUACCCAUCAACUCCCUAGUAUGCGUCAUCCUGGACAUAGCAUCUUGAACAUUAUGGGAUCUAGCUUCCUUGAUAUCCACAUCGAAGGACUAUGCUUCCAGUUUCACAGUCCAGGGUUAUGCUGUGGUGGAUUUUCUGCGAGCUUCAAGUACAACGAAAAUUUAGGACGUUGUUAAGCUGAUAAAUUUGUUGGAGUCUCAGGAUACAGAGCCUGCCGGAGCAGAGUUUGAUGCAGUCUUGUAGAAGAUUCCAUUUCCGUUUGUGGUGUCCUGGGGAUCUGAAUGGGAAACAGAACUGCAGACAGGAUGCUGGGGACCCUCAUGUCCGGGUAGAGGAGUCAAUCGUGAUUAUUGGCGAUUGCAGAUUCCUGAAUUUCACCUGAAGCCAUUCGAGAAUGUCAAAGGUUUAAGCUCUAUAAAUAAGUUCAAUCUGUAAAAUGUCUACAUAUUAUACUAUGUCAGAUAUAUAGCAUCUUAUCUCCGGUUCAUUGACGCAGUUUUCUGUAGAUUCAGUUUUCAGGUUGCGUUUACAUCCUGUAGAGGGCCGACGCAUGUUAAUGGACGCAACGUAUGACAUAUUUUUCUUCAGAGGAUCUUCAAGGUGAGUAGUGUCUCAAAUUGCAUAACUGAAGUUACGAGGUAGCUGUAUGCAUUUAUGCGUACAAGGUCGCACUAGGCCUGCAUAUUCUGAGGCACUGCUUCAAUUUAAUAAGUGUCCCUUAUUUUCUGAUUUUUCCAGAUUACAGACCUGAGUCCAUGACUUUUCUGACUGUUUGGUUCAGACUAAAAAAUGUUUAAGCAUACACAACCUGUAUAUGCCGUGGACUGGUAAUGUUCACAGUUAGUCCAACAUUGUUUGCCGCAAUUACAACAUUUCUAGACAAGUUUCGCAAUAUAUCAUCCAACGUCCUGGACAUGAAAGGUGUAACGCCAACUUAGCUUUCAAAUUACAUCUUGAAAUAUUUGUCAAAGGUUAUUUCACCAUUUUAAACGAUGAUUAAUUUUGUGUCCCACCAGCUUGCAAUUACAAAUCCCGAAUAAUGUGGGAACUAAGACUUGCAGUUCAUGUUUCGGGCUAAUCAGAGUCUAAUCCGUUGAAAUGCGUGUCUCGAGCUCCAUAUGCGUUCUGACAUCUCGUUAGGGCCCUUCCCAUUAUGUCUCAUGUCGCACUCCUUUAACGUGUGCUAGCAUCGUCGGUAACUCACCAUAAAGCUUCACAACCAGAACAUCAAAGUUGGGGGAAAGACUUCAAUUAAGUUACUGAGAGAUUUUUAUUUUUUAUGUAGAGCAUAAAAAAAUUAGAUAAUUAAAAUUUUAGACAUCGUUUAGGAUAUUGAUUUAAUUUUAUUAGAAUUUCUACAAUAAUACCUACUAUUAGUUAAAUAUUUAGUCAUGUUUUUAAUUAAUAUUCUAUGAAUUAAUUUUUUAUUAAUAUUUUAUAUAAUAGAAUUAACAUAUUAAUGAAAAAAAAUAUUAUAAAUUAUUGUGUUAAAAUAUUUAA